CCUACGGGUGGCUGCAGUGAGGAAUAUUGGUCAAUGGCCGGAAGACUGAACCAGCCAUGCCGCGUGAAGGUCAAUGCCCUAUGGUCGUGAAACUUCUUUUGUUCGGGAGCCAUAAAGGUCAAGUGUGGCCAGAAGGGAGUACCGUACGAAUAAACAUCGGGUAACCCCGGGCCAGCAGCGGCGGUAAAACGGGGGAUGCAGGAGUUAUCCGGAUUUAUGGGGUUUAAAGGGUGCGGAGGCUGUGAGGUAAGUCAGCGGUGAAAUGCCCCCGCUCAACGGGGUGAAGCGCCAUUGACACUGCCUUGCUGGAAUGCGGAUGCCGUAGGAGGAAUGUGUGGUGUAGCGGUGAAAUGCAUAGAUAUCACACAGAACACCGAUUGCGAAGGCAUCUCACGAAUCCGCGAUUGACGCUGAUGCACGAAAGCGUGGGUAUCAAACAGGAUUAGAUACCCGUGUAGUC
RNAcentral lists this ribosomal RNA (460 nucleotides) under uncultured bacterium. RNAcentral's name for it is "partial 16S ribosomal RNA". It matches the Rfam family "Bacterial small subunit ribosomal RNA", at positions 338 to 795 of the family's 1533-position model. The record is from RNAcentral.